CUUAUUAACUCUCAGCCCAGCGGCGGUUUCCAGGACCUCAGACUUUUUGCCGAGGCGGCAGUCCCUAGACGAAGCGAAGGAGGCGGCGCCUGCCCCGCCCACAAGAGCUGCCGCGCGCGGGUGUUAUAGCUCCACCCCAUCUGCAAAGGAAGGGGGAGCGGAAAGAGCGGGAUCUAGCGUGGGAUAAAAGUGGGACUACUACAGUGUAACUGGGCAUGCGCCCCUCCUAGAAAUGAUGGGAAUGCAAAAGCCCUUGACUGCUCCAGGACUCGAGGGAUCCUCGGUGCCAGGAUGCUGGGUCAAGCGCUCCGCCGGGACAGAGGACUCAUACCAGGGAAAUGGAGCCCAGCCUCGUGAUAAACUACGACCCAAGCUGGGGGAGGAACCUAGUUUUCGAAAGGAAAAUAAUAUGCGCAAGCUUUAACUGAGCAGUGGGAUGGUCUUAAAUACCAAAGGAAUGACUUUAAAUCUUGCUGGAUGGGACUGCCACUCACCGCUAGAAAUCGGGGAUCAACAGCAAACUCUGGAUGACCCUGUAACCACAUCUCCAGUUCAGCCCGGCGAGGGGCAUCCUCACCCACCAGCAAAGUACCAUCCACCUUAUUGAUGACAGGGAUCCGGGUCUCCAGGUCCACAUCAAGGUGAUUAGGCUCUUCCAUGCACUCCACCUCCAGCUGCAAACCCAGAAUCCACCCCCAUGAGCACAUACUCUUCUUUGGGGGAGGGAGGGAGGGGGAGCAGGGCCAAUGGUAGUCAUGAAAUGACUCUAGUAUUUUCCAUUCCCCCAGUCCCACUGCCUUCAUCAAUUAUUGGGAAUAAAAAGACAAUCUAAUCGUCA
Molecule: long non-coding RNA, 838 nt
Organism: Homo sapiens (human)
Lineage: Eukaryota; Metazoa; Chordata; Mammalia; Primates; Hominidae
Exons: 2
Source: RefSeq, a predicted model, not a curated record